This 231-nucleotide ribosomal RNA is filed under the name Vibrio parahaemolyticus. Its description in RNAcentral is "partial 23S ribosomal RNA". It matches the Rfam family "Bacterial large subunit ribosomal RNA", at positions 176 to 454 of the family's 2925-position model. The record is from RNAcentral. Lineage: Bacteria; Pseudomonadati; Pseudomonadota; Gammaproteobacteria; Vibrionales; Vibrionaceae.
GAGGCGAACCGGGGGAACUGAAACAUCUAAGUACCCCGAGGAAAAGAAAUCAACCGAGAUUCCGAAAGUAGCGGCGAGCGAAAUUGGACUAGCCCUUAAGCUUUACACGCGUUAGACGAACGGUCUGGAAAGUCCGACGAUACAGGGUGAUAGUCCCGUAGUUGACGACGUGUGUUCAGUGAAAUCGAGUAGGGCGGGACACGUGAUAUCCUGUCUGAAUAUGGGGGGACC